This 59-nucleotide transfer RNA is filed under the name Cucullanus robustus. RNAcentral's name for it is "tRNA-Ile". Lineage: Eukaryota; Metazoa; Nematoda; Chromadorea; Rhabditida; Cucullanidae. The record is from RNAcentral.
UUUAGUUUAGAAAAAGUUUAUUACGCUAUCUUGAUGAGGUAGAAUUCUUAGGACUAAAU